GCGACCCCAGGAUGGGCGAGGCCAC
This 25-nucleotide ribosomal RNA is filed under the name Catasetum sp. SRR-2011. RNAcentral describes it as "partial 26S ribosomal RNA". RNAcentral also lists the same sequence under 1 other name. The record is from RNAcentral. Lineage: Eukaryota; Viridiplantae; Streptophyta; Magnoliopsida; Asparagales; Orchidaceae.